GACGACCGCUGGCGGCGUGCUUAACACAUGCAAGUCGAACGGAAAGGCCCUGCUUUUGUGGGGUGCUCGAGUGGCGAACGGGUGAGUAACACGUGAGUAACCUGCCCUUGACUUUGGGAUAACUUCAGGAAACUGGGGCUAAUACCGGAUAGGAGCUCCUGCUGCAUGGUGGGGGUUGGAAAGUUUCGGCGGUUGGGGAUGGACUCGCGGCUUAUCAGCUUGUUGGUGGGGUAGUGGCUUACCAAGGCUUUGACGGGUAGCCGGCCUGAGAGGGUGACCGGCCACAUUGGGACUGAGAUACGGCCCAGACUCCUACGGGAGGCAGCAGUGGGGAAUAUUGCACAAUGGGCGGAAGCCUGAUGCAGCAACGCCGCGUGCGGGAUGACGGCCUUCGGGUUGUAAACCGCUUUCGCCUGUGACGAAGCGUGAGUGACGGUAAUGGGUAAAGAAGCACCGGCUAACUACGUG
Molecule: ribosomal RNA, 468 nt
Filed under: uncultured bacterium
Lineage: Bacteria
Description: partial 16S ribosomal RNA
Rfam family: Bacterial small subunit ribosomal RNA
Source: RNAcentral